This is a long non-coding RNA of Papio anubis (olive baboon), 1864 nucleotides long. Lineage: Eukaryota; Metazoa; Chordata; Mammalia; Primates; Cercopithecidae. The record is from Ensembl.
CCCUAACGUGUGUUACCCUUUAUUCUAAGGAUAAUAUUUUCAAAGAUUUAUUUCAUAGCUAAUAUAUAAGGAAUAAGGAGGUAGGAACAAAACCAACACACAAGCACAUUUAAGAAAAAAAUUACUAGAUGAAAACAGUAAAGCCAUUUCAAAGUAUUAUCCUCAUAUUGUGUUGAUAUUAAUUUAAAACUUUUAAUUUUUUAAUUGAACUUUGAACAGGCUGUAAUGCUUCAAUGUAACAAUGCCUCCUAUAUAAUGUAGUGUAGAAAUGCUAUUUCUAGCAAUAUGGCAGGUGAAAUAUCCAGAAAAUCCUUUCCUGAAAUGCUGAAUAAAAUAUGCACCCAUGAUUUUAAGUGCAAAGCUAGGGAAAUAGAAGAAAAUAUCGGGUAACAAAAUGCAUGGAGAGCUGAAAACAAGAGGUAGAAACUUGUGAGUGAUGCUAGUGUGGCCAUUCUGACUUCAUAAUUAAAAGGCUGCAGUGUGAAUUGCCUCAUAACAUAGAUGACAUGUGAUUAGGCAUUGAUAUGGCUGGGCUGUGUCCCUACCAAAAUCUCACCUUGAAUCUGUGUCCCUACCAAAAUCUCAACUUGAAUCGUAAUAAUCUGCAAGAGUCAGGGGUGGGGCCAGGUGGAGAUAAUUGAAUCAUAGGGGCACUAUCCCCCAUACUUUCUCAUGGUAGUGAAUAAGUCUCAUGAGAUCUCAUGGUUUUAUAAAUGGGAUUUCCCCUGUACAAGCUCCCUUGCCUGCCACCAUGUAAGCGGUAACUUUGCUCCUCAUUUGCCUUCCACCAUGAUUGUGAGGCCUCCCAGCCAUGUGGAACUGUAUAAUUGCCCUGCUGACAUGGUACAAGGGCUCAUGCCCAGAGAGAGAAAGAGUUAAGUAGCUGACCCUAAAGCCAAGGAAGAGCCAACUGUGCAGCUGUUCAUGGGAGCAGUCAAACCAAGCAGCCGAGACAGAGCAGACAGUGUAAGAGAGCUGCUGAUGAAAGAACUGCUGAAUAAAGCCGUAUUUCACCUACCUAUGGCCCCCUGAGUGUUUCUUCAGCUAUCUGCCACUUAUCCACCCACAGCCCUCAGACCUCAGCAUGGGCUGGGACCUGACAGAAAAUAUGAAAGAAUGGUUUUGAAAAAUGGAGGAUAAAAUAAAAAACUUCAUCAUAUCUAAUUACAGUGUAGAAAAUUGAGUAAAUGUUGGCUGUGGCAUUCUGUGCAAAAUGAUGUCUCCAAUAAAAGCCUAGCCCUCUUAUAGUCAUAUGAGUUCGUAAUGUUACUUUGCUGCCCACCAUCAAAAAGCAAGUCCAUUUCCACAUUCCUUGACUGUGACUGGCCUCCUAAUUUGCUUUAACUAGUAGAAUGUGGCAGAGGUGACACUGAAUUCCAGAGUAGCUUCCACUCUUGACCCAUUGAUUUGCUGUCCUGAUAUUUCAAUAUAAAGAACUUCAUCUGGAACCUUGUGCUCAGGAAGCCACAAAGGAAAUAAGGAAAACUUAAGGGCCCGAUUGACUGCCAGUGCCAUCGGCGAAACACAUCCGUGAGACCACCUAAUCCAUUCAGCCCUACGUAGCCUGUCAAAUGACUGCAACUACAUGAGUGACCCCAGGAGAAGCUGAUUCCAGAUCAACUGCUAACUGCAGAAUCAUUAGCUAAUAAAUGGUUGUUGUUCAAAAACCAAAAAGGUUUGGGGUGAUUUGUUACUCAGCAAUAGAUAACUAAUAUAUUUAUCAUAUUCCAGAUUGGUCUCCAGAAGUACCACCAAGGUUUGGGCCUGAAACUUUGGGGGGUUUUCCUUUUUUAAAAAAAGAAUACAAGCCUACAACUAUACAAUUAAAUGUAAAAGUCAAAAUGCAUUUAGACUGAGAAAAAAA